Molecule: long non-coding RNA, 1589 nt
Filed under: Anas platyrhynchos platyrhynchos (common mallard)
Lineage: Eukaryota; Metazoa; Chordata; Aves; Anseriformes; Anatidae
Description: lncRNA (ENSAPLG00000022485.1)
Source: RNAcentral
UGCACAGGCCAUCCAAAUCAGAUUAUGUUAUCAUGGUUCUCCAAUCAUCGCCAAGAGCAGGAUCAUGAACAUGAGGAGGAAAUCUAGUUAUUCAGGUACAUGUUACCCUAUUAAAAGUUUGAGGAAAGUACAUUGAGCUGUUAUAAUGGGAUUAGAGUUUCAGUUGUGUUCCCAGGGUUGCCAUGACUCUGUGAUUUUGGUGCUUCGCUGUCAGGCUUGGAGAGCACAGCUCCACUCCUGCCAACCACAAAGAAUCCAGACCAUCAUCACAGAGCAGUGGGCAUCGAGAGUGUGAAGCCUGUGGGGAUUAUCUUUAUCUAGGUACAAACGCCUGAGGCAGAGACUGAACGAGCCCACACAAGAGCUGGGGAAGGAUCCCAGCAUCUACUCACACUAAGCAAGGCAGCAAGCAGGCACAGCAAGAAGAAACAGCCUUGUUAAAUAAGACUUUGACCUUCUAGGUUGUCUCUCAACACCUUCAGGAACCUGGUCCUUUCUCUUUAGCCUCACCUGUCCCAUCAGGGUAUGAAGAGGUCUGAAGGGUUUCUUUCCCAACUGACAGGAGUUCACAGGAGUUGAUGAUCUCCUUCACGUUGUCAGUGAAUAGCAAUCCACAUUAUGAUAGUCACUAAAAGUUUUUUUCUUAAUUAAACAGGGUGAAGGGCAAAACCAGAGGCAUGCAGAUUGACCUAACUGCAAUGCAGAUCAGCUUCCUGCAUGACUUUUAAAGACAAGGAGAAUUUCUUGACUUUCCUGUCAUUACACCAUGCUUCUAAACUAGAGUGGCUCCACCAGCUUUGUGUGUUGUGUGCUUCCUGUCCAUUCCCAGCUUUUGGAGGUAUUUAUCUCCAUGAACAGAGAAAGGAAAAGGCUGACCAGGAGCUACUGCAACAGCAACCUCCAGCCAUUCAAAAUAAGUGCAGGACAGAAGAGGUUUACGCCACGCUAUGAUGAAAGGAUGAUUGAGUUUUGAACUGGCCUAAGUGUACACACUCAUCUCCCAGAUGGAAAUAACGUGAGUUGAUGCAUUACAGGCCACAGAGGUGUCUGAGCCUUGGAGGUUUCUGCCAUUUGAACGCAUGCACUUCUGUCAUGGGAUAAAUGGGUGCAACAGACACACACUGCUCUUAGGACAGGACUCCCCGGGGUCCCCAUGACUCAGGCUGCUAGGAAUGGGUCGAGGUCUUGGGGUCUUGGCUUCAGUUCAGGCACUGCCUGUGCUUUCUCAAGGCAUCUGUUCCUGCAAGGUGCCUGGUGGAAGGAGCAGGGCAGCAGUGGGGUGCUGCAGAGGUAUCUGUAGGGUGAAACCCAUGCCCCGUGCAGGCAGCCAGACACGCUGGGUCUGAAGUGACACACGGGCCUCGUGCUGCAGCCAGCCACAGCGAGCUGCAUUGUAUGAAAUCCUGGCCCCGCUCACAGACUGCCAUGUGUCCAAGAAAAUCCUCUUUUUUUUUUUUUUUUUCUUUUUUUUUUUCUUUCUCAUCCUCUCUCUCCACAAAGAAAUCCUUCCCCAGAAUUUCUCAGAAUCUGAGGGCUUUGGCCAUUUAGCCGAGAUUUCUGGCUGCAGCACAAUUAUAAUUGGUCUCUCA